ACUUCUGCUUGGACAGCCCAUCCUAACUCUGCCUUGCAGGAACGGCCGGGGGAAAGGGCCUGCCUGGGUUUGCCCUUCUGGUGAAUUCCAGAUGGGUGUAAUAGAAGCAGGCCUAAUCCAGGUGGCCAGUGCUAAAUUCACUUCCAGGGGUUUUAGGAAUGAGGCACAACCUUAAAACUAAGAAAUAAGAGUGCGCCUCACCUCCCAUCUUUUUGUUUUUCCAAACAAAAACUCAGUCAGAAAACUUAUCUGUGAAAGAAGGAACUGUUUGGAUGACCAGUUUUCUCCCAAACCUCUAAUGGGAUCAGUGGAGACAGCCAGAAGCCACGAUUUCGCAGUGAUCAAGAUGACCAUCUGGUAUAAAGAUCAGGGAAGAAGAUAUAUCUGUGGGUCUGGAGACCUUUGGAAUAAAAGCACAAUGCUCAGGGAUAAGAAGACACGUCUUCUAUCUUUUAAAGAAAAUACCACUCAAGUUUAGCUAGGUAAUUAAUUAAUUCACAAGUAGGUCCAAAGUGGGAGCGAUUACGGAACAAUGGCUAAUGAUAAAGAAUAAACCCUAAGACCUGAGUACUUCACCACUACGCUCUCCUGUCUCUGCACAAAGAAGGGCACAGCUUUGUGGUUUUGAAGUACCUAAAUCAACGGAGGACAAGGUACAAGUGUGUGGUGAGUUGUCAGUGGGAGACAAUGUGCAAAGGAGAGAUCGUCAUGCCUAUGAGAGAUUUCGAGGGCCGGUUCCCCAGCAAGGUCUUGGGGUAGGACUGGUGUUGGCUCCCCACGUCACAUCAGUGUCCACCGGAAACUAUGGUUGGUCUGCUUUCCGUCCAGGCCCGGACAAGCCCUCACUUCUUUACCUAAUGGGAGAAGCGAUUCUUUGCCAGCGAAGAGGGGAGCCGUCCUUAGAAAGGCGUCUCAGAGGCUGCCAUUUAUGGUGCGGAGAGAAGGCCAUAGCUACGCUUUCAAUGACACACGCACAAAAGCUAUUGUUGUGGGCACAAACAAGGAAAGUUGAACCCUU
Molecule: long non-coding RNA, 1018 nt
Organism: Suricata suricatta (meerkat)
Lineage: Eukaryota; Metazoa; Chordata; Mammalia; Carnivora; Herpestidae
Exons: 6
Source: RefSeq, a predicted model, not a curated record